AUUUGGUCCUUUUACUCAGAUGGAACUGCAGAUGUGGCUGCCACAUGAAUUAGCGGGACAUCUCCUAGUACAAGAGCUUGGCAUGAGGCCUACCACAGAACAGAACCUGCAUGACUGCUGAAGGAAUGAACAGAAAUGACUCCUUGCCUUCAAACCAGGAGGGAAACAGCGGAUUCCAGGCUGCAAUUUGAAGAAACCUCUGUCCUCGUCUAGCACCAGGAUCCUCACGGUUGCAUCACAGCAAGGGAACCCCAAGCCCAGAGGAGCUCGGAUGCUGCCCACGGUCAAAACUGCUAGUCCGGCACUCCGAGGACAGGGACCCGUCGGCGGGGGCCUGUUCUAGGAGUCCCGGCUAUGCCGCCGCAACGCAGGCUGUGCCUUAGAAAUAGAGCCCCGCACCCAAAGCGCGGCUGCCCGCGGGAAACCCGCGGCGCGCAGGUGAGGGGCCACUAGGAACCGCCCUUCCCUUUGUGACUGCGGGCUACCAGCCGCUGGCACCGGAAGUCCGCCCGCGGCCUCUCUAGGACGCCCCGCUUGGCGCUCGGUGCCCUUAACCCUUGCGACGUUGCGGCAAGCUCUCCUCGCGCGCUGCCGCUUCCCAGGCACUCUGCUCGCCUUUGUUUCUUCUGGGCUUCGAAAAGGCUGAGGGGAGAAGGGCCUGGGGAUCCCAUUAUAUGGACAAGACCAGUGAAGCAGCCGAGCCAGAGCCGGGGCGUCCCGUUAUGGGCUAUUGUCAUUUAUCCCAAAUAGCCUCCCUACAGCUCCCUCAUAAUACCUUGAAAUACAUACAUUAAAACUUCAACUGGGGUUAUUACAGAUUACAACAGAUUUUACUUUCUUUUCUUUGGCACUGCAUUUCCUACAUUAUCUAGAGUGCCUGUGAUCCUACGGGGGAUGCUAAAAAUGAAAGGUUGGAAAUAAUUCACCUUACAAAAAAUUGGUUUACAUAUAUCUUGUCACAUGCAUGUUCUGCACUUGGUUCACAUAUGGCUCAAAGACAGAUGACCCCAAAGAUAAGGAAAAGAUUAUUGGCUCCAUGUUUCAGAUGAGACAACUAAGGUUCAGAGAGGGAAGUGACUUGCCCAAGAUCACACAGUACUUUAUCAGCUGAAUCGGGAAAACCUCCAUUCCUAUUCUGUGGCCUGACCCUUCACUACAGAGCUGCCUCCUAGAGCUGAUAGGAGGAAUGGAGGGGAACCACAGAAAAGUCACUGCCAACUGAAAAUUAAUAGACAAAUGUAAGGGAAUGGAAAGUAAGUUACUGUGCUCUACCCUUGGGCUUGCCCAGUGUGGGGCCCUGGGUCACUAAUCAGAUCCAGCCCUACCUUCACAGCAGGGCAGGGACCCAGUCAAGUGAUGUGGGGAUUCUGCCUGUUGCUGAGUAUGCCUUUUCCACUUAUGCCUUUGAAACUAGGAAAACAACCACAAGAUGGGUUUGGGGACCCAUUGGCCCACUGUGAGAUGGACCUGAGCUCAGUGAGGUUUUGGGUCUCAGGGAAUCAAGAGUUGAAUGCUAAAGUACACAUGUGACCAGGAGUAGGAUUUUGCCAGUGGAGAAAGGGAUAUGUGCUUGCUUUUGUUCCUUUAUUCAUUCACCAUUAGUGAACACCUACUGUUUACCAGGUACUGCACGAGGCCCUAGGAGGACAGAAAUGAACAACAUGGCCUUAUUCUAGCAGGGGAAAUGAGAUGUGAGGUUAAAGAGGAAGUACAGUGACUGACUAGGUUCUGACCUAGUUUGAGGGUCAGGGAACCUUCCUGAAGGCUGUGAGAUCUAAGCCAAGGCCUGGAAGAUAAGGAGGCUUUGGUGAGGAAGAAAGAGAAAGGGAGGAAGGGAAGAGUUUCCCAGACAAAACGAGCAACAAGUGCUAAGAAGGAAACUAGCCUGGCCAGCCUCAGUGUGUUUAAAGUUCCAUGUGUUAGAUGGU
Manis pentadactyla (Chinese pangolin) is the source of this 1928-nucleotide long non-coding RNA. RefSeq lists it as uncharacterized. NCBI's taxonomy places the organism in Eukaryota, Metazoa, Chordata, Mammalia, Pholidota, Manidae. The record is from RefSeq and is a predicted model, not a curated record. The transcript is spliced from 3 exons.